AAUUUUGGACGAUGGGGGAAACCCUGAUCCAGCCAUCCUGCGUGUAUGAUGCAGGACNNNGGGUUNUNAAGUACUUUUGGCAGNGANNAAAAGGUAUCUCCUAAUACGAGAUACUGCUGACGGUAUCUGCAGAAUAAGCACCGGCUAACUACGUGCCAGCAGUCGCGGUAAUACGUAGGGUGAAAGCGUUAAUCGGAAUUACUGGGCCCAAAGCGUGUGUAGGCGGUUCGGAAAGAAAGAUGUGAAAUCCCAGGGCUCAACCUUGGAACUGCAUUUUUAACUGCCGAGCUAGAGUAUGUCAGAGGGGGGUAGAAUUCCACGUGUAGCAGUGAGAUGCGUAGAUAUGUGGAGGAAUACCGAUGGCGAAGGCAGCCCCCUGGGAUAAUACUGACGCUCAGACACGAAAGCGUGGGGAGCAAAC
RNAcentral lists this ribosomal RNA (421 nucleotides) under uncultured bacterium. Its description in RNAcentral is "partial 16S ribosomal RNA". It matches the Rfam family "Bacterial small subunit ribosomal RNA", at positions 360 to 773 of the family's 1533-position model. The record is from RNAcentral.